RNAcentral lists this ribosomal RNA (891 nucleotides) under uncultured bacterium. RNAcentral's name for it is "bacterial SSU rRNA". It matches the Rfam family "Bacterial small subunit ribosomal RNA", at positions 8 to 916 of the family's 1533-position model. The record is from RNAcentral.
AGAGUUUGAUCAUGGCUCAGGAUGAACGCUGGCGGCGUGCUUAAUACAUGCAAGUCGAACGGAGACUGUAGCAAUACUGUCUUAGUGGCGAACGGGUGAGUAACGCGUUGGUGACCUGCCCCGAAGAGGGGGAUAACAGUCCGAAAGGAUUGCUAAUACCCCAUGUGGUCGUUUGGAUUAGAUGCCUUAUGACUAAACGGAUUUAUUCGCUUCGGGAGGGGCCUGCGUCCCAUCAGCUAGUUGGUAGGGUAAUAGCCUACCAAGGCGAUGACGGGUAGGGGACCUGAGAGGGUGGCCCCCCACAAUGGAACUGAAACACGGUCCAUACACCUACGGGUGGCAGCAGUAGGGAAUAUUGGUAAUCUGGGAAACCGGGAACCAGCAACGCCGCGUGCGCGAUGAAGGCCUUCGGGUUGUAAAGCGCUUUUUAAAGGGAUGAGGAAGGACAGUACCUUUAGAAUAAGCCUCGGCUAACUACGUGCCAGCAGCCGCGGUAAAACGUAGGAGGCGAGCGUUAUCCGGAUUUACUGGGCGUAAAGCGUGUGCAGGCGGUUUGAUAAGUUGGAUGUGAAAGCUCCUGGCUUAACUGGGAGAGGUCGUUCAAAACUAUCAGACUAGAGAGUGGUAGAGGGAGAUGGAAUUCCGCGUGUAGUGGUGAAAUGCGUAGAUAUGCGGAGGAACACCAGUGGCGAAAGCGGUCUCCUGGCCCAUUUCUGACGCUCAGACACGAAAGCUAAGGUAGCAAACGGGAUUAGAGACCCCGGUAGUCUUAGCUGUAAACGAUGUGAACUUAGUGUCGGUGGGGUUAAAUCCAUCGGUACUGAAGCUAACGCGAUAAGUUCACCGCCUGGGGACUACGGCCGCAAGGUUAAAACUCAAAGGAAUUGACGG